GAUGAAGAACGCAGCGAAAUGCGAUAAGUAAUGUGAAUUGCAGAAUUCAGUGAAUCAUCGAAUCUUUGAACGCACAUUGCGCUCCUUGGUAUUCCGGGAGCACGCCUGUUUGAGAAUCAUUAAAAUCAAUCACCCCAGUUGGUGGACCUGAGCUUUUCCUCCCACGGCGGUGGAAUAGCUUGAAAUUGAAUGUCGGGAAAUACCUCGGACUGUCCCGUUCCAGGAUUUCAAGCGCAUGAAAGAGUGUUUACACUUUGUCUGGUUCGCUUGAGCCGUUCCUGUGGGAUUUUGGGCUGAGGACCAUUUCAACGCACAGCCAGACGAGGCAACUCGAUUGGUUAUCAAUAAGACGGUUGGGAGCAAUCUGCUCCUGGUCUCUUGAACUCUUGGUCUCAAAUCAGGUGGGAAAACCCGCUGAACUUAAGCAUAUCAAUAAGCGGAGGA
This 444-nucleotide unclassified non-coding RNA is filed under the name soil metagenome. RNAcentral's name for it is "partial contains 5.8S ribosomal RNA, internal transcribed spacer 2, and large subunit ribosomal RNA". The stretch from base 1 to 119 matches the Rfam family "5.8S ribosomal RNA", at positions 35 to 154 of the family's 154-position model. The record is from RNAcentral.